AGAUUGAACGCUGGCGGCAUGCCUAACACAUGCAAGUCGAACGGGAGUAGCAAUACUCUAGUGGCGGACGGGUGAGGAAUACGUAGGAAUUUGCCCUUAAGUGGGGGAUAACCCGGGGAAACCCGGAUUAAUACCGCAUACGCCCGAGAGGGGAAAGUGGGGGACCGCAAGGCCUCACGCGAUUGGGUUGGCCGAUGUCCGAUUAGCUAGUUGGCGGGGUAAUGGCCCACCAAGGCGAUGAUCGGUAGCUGGUCUGAGAGGAUGAUCAGCCACACUGGGACUGAGACACGGCCCAGACUCCUACGGGAGGCAGCAGUGGGGAAUUUGGACAAUGGGGGCAACCCUGAUCCAGCAUUCCGCGUGAGUGAAGAAGGCCUUCGGGUGUAAAGCUCUUUGUCCGGAACGAAACGGGUAGCGUGAAUAUCGCUGCCUACUGACGGUACCGGAAGAAUAAGCACCGGCUAACUACGUGCCAGCAGCCGC
This 483-nucleotide ribosomal RNA is filed under the name uncultured soil bacterium. Its description in RNAcentral is "bacterial SSU rRNA". It matches the Rfam family "Bacterial small subunit ribosomal RNA", at positions 26 to 518 of the family's 1533-position model. The record is from RNAcentral.